UUCUAUUAGAAAUAAUUAAUAGUAAAAUCUGCUCCAUGUCUAAUAAAUAGCCGCAAUUUGUGCUAAGGUAGCAUAAUCAUUUGUCUUUUAAAUGAAGACUAGAACAAAAGAUUUAACAUUUCAGUUUAUUUUCCUAUUCUAUACUAUCCAAUUUCUCUUAAAUGUAAAAAGACAUUUAUAAAAUAGAAAGACGAUAAGACCCUAUUGAACUUAACUGUAGUUAAACUGGGGCAGUAAAUUAAUUAUUAUUUUAAUAUAAAUCUUUAUAUAAAUAUCUAAUACAAUUAAAUAAUUCAGUUACCAUAGGGAUAACAGCGUAAUAAUUUUCUAAAGAUCUUAUUUAAAAUAAAGAUUACGACCUCGAUGUUGAAUUAAUAACCUAAUUAAGGCAAAACUUAAAAAAGGAAGUCUGUUCGACUUUUAAAAAAUUACAUGAUUUGAGUUCAGACCGGUGUAAGCCAGGUCGGUUUCUAUCUUCUAAUAACUUUUUUACAGUACGAAAGGACCUAAAAAUCUAAUA
This 520-nucleotide ribosomal RNA is filed under the name Habronattus zapotecanus. Its description in RNAcentral is "partial 16S ribosomal RNA". It matches the Rfam family "Bacterial large subunit ribosomal RNA", at positions 1825 to 2706 of the family's 2925-position model. Lineage: Eukaryota; Metazoa; Arthropoda; Arachnida; Araneae; Salticidae. The record is from RNAcentral.